UUCAUCCCAGGGUCAACAGAUAGUUGCUUCCAAGAUUUCUCUAUAUAGCAGGCGCAGAUCAAGGACAUGCUCUUGCAUAGCUCCUGGAAGGAAAAAUAUCUAGCAAAUACAUGCAGAACCAUGACGUGAAGAUAUUAUAUCUUGCAGUCCAUCAGUGGAGUAUUCGUUUGAGAAAUCGAUCGACAAAGUAAUUUGGCGGAGUUUUUGGUUUAAUUAUGGUGUUCCGCGAUAUCUUAUGUCCUAACUCGGUAGCAAAUAAGAUAGAAGAUCGGGUUUGUUCAAUUUAGUAAAUAAACUGUCUGCAUCGGCUGCCUGUCAGACCUGUUUUCUCUUCUCAUGCAGAGAUCCAAAGUGGUGUUUUAAUUCUGACCAGCGAAUCAAUGCAGUGUGUGGUAUGGUGUACUGAAUACUUCUGUGGAAUAUUUACUAUAUAUUCCUCUUAAUGCUUUUCAUGUUGUUUAAAACCAUAUUUCAACCUACUUUUCUGAAAUUAAGCAUCUCUUCUUAUUUUGUUGGAAAGUGGAUAUGUCAUUUUGGAGCAUUACUAGGUUUUCUAUAUCUACUUCUCUGCAUUUCUCACAAGCAAAAUAUUUUUUUAGUUAACUUCGAUCUGUUCUUUCAAUUUUAUGCUCAUGUAAUGAUCCAAUAGAGAUAUGUGCAUCUUGGAAGAAUAAAUUAUGCUCUGUUCAGAUGGAAUUUCUUCUGAUUAUGCAUUCAGAAUUUCAAUUAGGAGGCACCAUAGCAGCACUUAUUCCAAGCAACAAGGAAGAUCGAAAAAUGAUGCACAAGUUAACCUCUUGGUGAGGACAAUUACUUAAUGGACGGAAAAUAGGUUGUUUAUCUAUAUAGAUGGCGCUACUUAAAAGUAUUAUUUG
Triticum aestivum (bread wheat) is the source of this 875-nucleotide long non-coding RNA. RefSeq lists it as uncharacterized. NCBI's taxonomy places the organism in Eukaryota, Viridiplantae, Streptophyta, Magnoliopsida, Poales, Poaceae. The transcript is spliced from 3 exons. The record is from RefSeq and is a predicted model, not a curated record.